AACGAACGCUGGCGGCAGGCCUAACACAUGCAAGUCGAGCGAGGACUUCGGUCCUAGCGGCGGACGGGUGAGUAACGCGUGGGAACGUGCCCUUUGCUUCGGAAUAGCCCUGGGAAACUGGGAGUAAUACCGGAUGAGCCCUUUGGGGGAAAGAUUUAUCGGCGAAGGAUCGGCCCGCGUUGGAUUAGGUAGUUGGUGGGGUAAUGGCCUACCAAGCCGACGAUCCAUAGCUGGGUUGAGAGGAUGAUCAGCCACACUGGGACUGAGACACGGCCCAGACUCCUACGGGAGGCAGCAGUGGGGAAUCUUAGACAAUGGGGGAAACCCUGAUCUAGCCAUGCCGCGUGAGCGAUGAAGGCCUUAGGGUUGUAAAGCUCUUUUAGCUGGGAAGAUAAUGACGGUACCAGCAGAAGAAGCCCCGGCUAACUCCGUG
RNAcentral lists this ribosomal RNA (433 nucleotides) under uncultured bacterium. RNAcentral describes it as "partial 16S ribosomal RNA". It matches the Rfam family "Bacterial small subunit ribosomal RNA", at positions 29 to 507 of the family's 1533-position model. The record is from RNAcentral.